Molecule: long non-coding RNA, 685 nt
Filed under: Daucus carota (carrot)
Lineage: Eukaryota; Viridiplantae; Streptophyta; Magnoliopsida; Apiales; Apiaceae
Description: long non-coding RNA (DCAR_LNC006927)
Source: RNAcentral
AGUGUAGAUCUCUUACUUUUUAGUUUUAAAUUUUUGAAAAGUAAUUGAAACUCUAGCACAAAAGAUGAUUUGUGUGGGGGUUGAAAAUCUAGAUUUAAAGACUAACGAGUAGUAAUAUAAAUUCGGCAGUUUAUUAAUCCAUCAAACAGUUUAGCAGCCCAGUGAUUCAUAUGCUUUUGUUUACUUGUUUUUUUUAAAAACCCUUUUCGUUGCUUUUGUUGCGUAAACAAAACCCCUCCCCUGUUUCUUUCUAUUAUGCUCUGUUCCUUUAUUUUACUGAGUCAUACUUGCCGAGUCAGCCGAGUCUAGUACCGAGUCGUUGCUUGGCUGGGUUGAAUUCUAGUCCCCUGUUUCCGAGUCAAUUUGCUGAGUUUUGUUCUUUGUUUCUGAUGAUGAGUCUUGCUUCGUUUUUAAUUGUCGAGUUUGUUUUGUUUCUUAAUGUCGAGUCUGGUUUUAUACUGAGUUGCUGGGUUUGUUUUUGGUGUUCGUCGUUUUUGUUAAGUUGUGUUUUCUUGAGUCAAAUUCUUGUUUAAGUUUUGAACUGAGUAGCUUAGUUUGUGAUCUAUUUUGUUGCUCUGUUCUGUCCGAGUUGCGUUUCUGAUGUACUGAGUCGCGAUUGAGUCAGUCCCGAGUCGCCUUCGAGUCCUGCAGUUUUGCUUGUUUCCGAGUCCACUGUAGUCGCGAG